UACGGGGGGGGCAAGCGUUGUUCGGAAUUACUGGGCGUAAAGGGCUCGUAGGUGGCCAACUAAGUCAGACGUGAAAUCCCUCGGCUUAACCGGGGAACUGCGUCUGAUACUGGAUGGCUUGAGUUUGGGAGAGGGACGCGGAAUUCCAGGUGUAGCGGUGAAAUGCGUAGAUAUCUGGAGGAACACCGGUGGCGAAGGCGGCGUCCUGGACCAACACUGACACUGAUGCACGAAAGCUAGGGGAGCAAACAGG
Molecule: ribosomal RNA, 253 nt
Filed under: uncultured bacterium
Lineage: Bacteria
Description: partial 16S ribosomal RNA
Rfam family: Bacterial small subunit ribosomal RNA
Source: RNAcentral